RNAcentral lists this long non-coding RNA (858 nucleotides) under Equus caballus (horse). RNAcentral describes it as "lncRNA (ENSECAG00000044860.1)". The record is from RNAcentral. Lineage: Eukaryota; Metazoa; Chordata; Mammalia; Perissodactyla; Equidae.
CUGAUGCCAAAUUCCUGCUUACCUGGCCUCCCUUCCCUUCGAUUGAGCAGUUAUUUGACAGAAUCUACCCAUUGUGGCCUAGUUGUAGAAACAGCUUCAUAGCAGAACUUGUGUAGGGAGUCAAGUCAUGGAAACUGGGUGCCCAAAGCAUUACGGAAUCAUGAGACAAGAAGAGGGAGAGUUGCAACAGUUUAUAGAAGGUUGAAAGUGAAACUGGAAAGAAUCAGCACUGAAAAGAGACGUUUUUGACUUCAGGCUAGUGCCCAAGCCUCAGUUUAGUUAAUCCUGGUCUUAUCCAGGCUAAAACACAGACUGACGUCACAACUUUGGAAUCCCUGGGAGCUGGCAAGCCCUGGUCCAAGGAAUUUUCCAUUUCAGGUCGCUUCACUCCCCUGCUUCAGACCUUCCAUCGGCUGCCCAUGGCAUGCGAAUCAGAUUGCAGCAAUACAAGGCCUAUGGGCUUCUCCAUCGCUCACGCCCUGUGACGACCCAGCAGUCAACAAAGGUCUUCUCUCCUUCUCUGCAGCACAGUGAACAGUCUCUGGCCCUCCUGCCCCUCCCACCCGCUGCCCCUCAGCCUGGGAUGCAUUGUCCCUCAAUUUUUCUCAUGGCUGGCUGUCUCUUGUCAUUCUUAUCCAGCACUAGCUUUCCUUCUCUGCAGCGAGGCUUCCCCAGACCACUCAAGAUAACUGUCCAUCCCCCAUCAUCCCUUCCAGGCUCUGAAGCACAUCACCUUGGUUUUCAUUCUUCACGGUAUUUUCACACUCGGCUAUUAUUGUCUUCAUUCCUCGGUUAACUCGCUGAUUGUCUAGCUUAGAAUCUAUCCUGCUGAGGGCAGAGAUCUUGCCUGACUGUUUC